CUGAGUGAGGGCCCUCUGGGUCCAACCUCCCACCCGUGUCUAUUGUACCUUGUUGCUUCGGUGGGCCGGCCUUCUGGCCGCCCCGGGCGCUCGCCCGGGGGCUCUCGCGCCCGCCGAGGACACCAAUGAACGCUGUCUGAAGAAUGCAGUCUGAGCGAAUAGCUAAAUUAGUUA
This 174-nucleotide unclassified non-coding RNA is filed under the name uncultured Trichocomaceae. Its description in RNAcentral is "sequence contains ITS1". The record is from RNAcentral. Lineage: Eukaryota; Fungi; Ascomycota; Eurotiomycetes; Eurotiales; Trichocomaceae.